GACGAACGCUGGCGGCGUGCCUAAUACAUGCAAGUCGAACGCUGAAGAGAGGAGCUUGCUCUUCUUGGAUGAGUUGCGCACGGGUGAGUAACGCGUAUGUAACCUGCCUUGUAGCGGGGGAUCACUAUUGGAAACGAUAGCUAAUCCCGCAUAACAAUGGAUGACACAUGUCAUUUAUUUGAAAGGGGCAAUUGCUCCACUACAAGAUGGACCUGCGUUGUAUUAGCUAGUAGGUGAGGUAACGGCUCACCUAGGCGGCGAUACAGAGCCGACCUGAGAGGGUGAGCAGCCGCACUGGGACGGUGACACGGCCCAGACUCAUACGGGAGGCAGCAGUAGGGAAUCUUCGGCAAUGGGGGCAACCCUGACCGAGCAACGCCGCGUGAGUGAAGAAGGUUGUCGGGUCGUAAAGCUCUGUUGUAAGUCAAGAACGAGUGUGAGAGUGGAAAGUUGACACUGUGACGGUAGCUGACCAGAAAGGGACGGCUAACUACGUG
RNAcentral lists this ribosomal RNA (497 nucleotides) under uncultured bacterium. RNAcentral describes it as "partial 16S ribosomal RNA". It matches the Rfam family "Bacterial small subunit ribosomal RNA", at positions 28 to 507 of the family's 1533-position model. The record is from RNAcentral.